CUCGGACAACAGAUAUCUCGACUCUCAGCAUCGAUGGUGUGAAUUGCAGAAUCCCAUGAACCAUCGAGUUUUUGAACGCAAGUUGCACCCAAAGCCUUGUGGCUAAAAGCACGGCUUCUUGGGCAUCACG
Molecule: ribosomal RNA, 130 nt
Filed under: Begonia formosana
Lineage: Eukaryota; Viridiplantae; Streptophyta; Magnoliopsida; Cucurbitales; Begoniaceae
Description: 5.8S ribosomal RNA
Source: RNAcentral